Molecule: long non-coding RNA, 653 nt
Organism: Ruditapes philippinarum (Manila clam)
Lineage: Eukaryota; Metazoa; Mollusca; Bivalvia; Venerida; Veneridae
Exons: 3
Source: RefSeq, a predicted model, not a curated record
UGCAUUUAGCCUUAAACGUAUAAAGAAUUUUGAAUAAUAUUAAAAAUACCGCCAAAAGGUCCUGGAUAGAAUAAAGCCCCUAUGGAUAGCAGAAUCCAUACUCACGUGAAUAUAUUAAAUGAAGUUUCGAUAUAGAUGAAUUAAUCGCAGAAAUUAAAAUAAAAGUCUCAAAUAUAAGAAGGAGGUCGAUUUCAGUAUAAGCACAAUUACAGUUGUCAUUUUUCAUAGUUUGCAGAUAUGGGCUAUUCCAGUUCGGGUAUUGUUUGUGGAUAAUGUUGGGCAACAUUUGUCUUAAUGACCACAUAAACUGGCUACUCGGCACAGGACUUUGUAAAUGUUGUGACAAAUCGAAACGUGACAGAUCCUGGUCCUGGCUGAAAUUUAAAGUAUUACAACUGUAGCUUCUAUACCAUAAAUUUAACAUGGAAAGGACUGUUCUUGGGAAAAUGCUGACGUAACUGAUGGGAGCAGUUUUUCUUACCAAUCAUAGAAGCAGUAGAAGUAUUCAAACACCAUCAUGACACACUUUAGACAUACCAAGAGAGCUCUAGAAGAAGAACUAGUGGUAGAUUGGAACAGAUUGUAGCUUAAAAGGACUUCUUAAAUCGUUUGAAUUUUAGCUACACUUGAACUGUAGUUUUGAAAUAAAAUAG